UACGAAGGGGGCAAGCGUUGUUCGGAAUUACUGGGCGUAAAGCGCGUGUAGGCUGUCUCGAAAGUCGGAUGUGAAAGCCCUGGGCUCAACCUAGGAAGUGCAUUCGAAACUUCGAGACUCGAGUCCUGGAGAGGAUCGCGGAAUUCUCGGUGUAGAGGUGAAAUUCGUAGAUAUCGAGAGGAACACCGGUGGCGAAGGCGGCGAUCUGGACAGUGACUGACGCUGAGACGCGAAGCGUGGGGAGCAAACA
RNAcentral lists this ribosomal RNA (250 nucleotides) under uncultured bacterium. Its description in RNAcentral is "partial 16S ribosomal RNA". It matches the Rfam family "Bacterial small subunit ribosomal RNA", at positions 524 to 774 of the family's 1533-position model. The record is from RNAcentral.